RNAcentral lists this ribosomal RNA (511 nucleotides) under uncultured bacterium. RNAcentral describes it as "partial 16S ribosomal RNA". It matches the Rfam family "Bacterial small subunit ribosomal RNA", at positions 28 to 523 of the family's 1533-position model. The record is from RNAcentral.
GACGAACGCUGGCGGCGUGCCUAAUACAUGCAAGUAGAACGCUGAAGGAGGAGCUUACUUCUCUGGAUGAGUUGCGAACGGGUGAGUAACGCGUAGGUAACCUGCCUGGUAGCGGGGGAUAACUAUUGGAAACGAUAGCUAAUACCGCAUAAGAGUAGAUGUUGCAUGACAUUUACUUAAAAGGUGCAAUUGCACCACUACCAGAUGGACCUGCGUUGUAUUAGCUAGUUGGUGGGGUAACGGCUUACCAAGGCGACGAUACAUAGCCGACCUGGGAGGGUGAUCGGCCACACUGGGACUGAGACACGGCCCAGACUCCUACGGGAGGCAGCAAUAGGGAAUCUUCGGCAAUGGACGGAAGUCUGGCCGAGCAACGCCGCGUGAGUGAAGAAGGUUUUCGGAUCGUAAAGCUCUGUUGUAAGAGAAGAACGAGUGUGAGAGUGGAAAGUCCACACUGUGACGGUAUCUUACCAGAAAGGGACGGCUAACUACGUGCCAGCCGCCGCGGUAA